GAUGAACGCUGGCGGCGUGCCUAAUACAUGCAAGUCGAGCGAACGGACGAGAAGCUUGCUUCUCUGAUGUUAGCGGCGGACGGGUGAGUAACACGUGGAUAACCUACCUAUAAGACUGGGAUAACUUCGGGAAACCGGAGCUAAUACCGGAUAAUAUUUUGAACCGCAUGGUUCAAAAGUGAAAGACGGUCUUGCUGUCACUUAUAGAUGGAUCCGCGCUGCAUUAGCUAGUUGGUAAGGUAACGGCUUACCAAGGCAACGAUGCAUAGCCGACCUGAGAGGGUGAUCGGCCACACUGGAACUGAGACACGGUCCAGACUCCUACGGGAGGCAGCAGUAGGGAAUCUUCCGCCAUGGGCGAAAGCCUGACGGAGCAACGCCGCGUGAGUGAUGAAGGUCUUCGGAUCGUAAAACUCUGUUAUUAGGGAAGAACAUAUGUGUAAGUAACUGUGCACAUCUUGACGGUACCUAAUCAGAAAGCCACGGCUAACUACGUG
This 497-nucleotide ribosomal RNA is filed under the name uncultured bacterium. RNAcentral describes it as "partial 16S ribosomal RNA". It matches the Rfam family "Bacterial small subunit ribosomal RNA", at positions 28 to 507 of the family's 1533-position model. The record is from RNAcentral.